This 236-nucleotide long non-coding RNA is filed under the name Elaeis guineensis (African oil palm). RNAcentral's name for it is "long non-coding RNA (EGUI_LNC032346)". The record is from RNAcentral. Lineage: Eukaryota; Viridiplantae; Streptophyta; Magnoliopsida; Arecales; Arecaceae.
GGGCCGACUCAUGAGGUCUGGAUGUUUCUGACUUGAAAUUUAUGAAGGUCUUGACUUGAGUUGGGAUAUCUCCCUAUGAUCGAUUUGUUACUAACCACUCAUUUAGAGGUCAUAGUAGGAGCUAGGAUAUCUCUGUAACAUCGGUUCUCUUCGACCAAGUUCUCAGGGGUUUUGGUUAGAGCUUGGAUAUCCUUGGAUUGAUUUUUGUCCGACCUUCAUUCAUCAAAGAUCAAGCU